Molecule: ribosomal RNA, 464 nt
Filed under: uncultured bacterium
Lineage: Bacteria
Description: partial 16S ribosomal RNA
Rfam family: Bacterial small subunit ribosomal RNA
Source: RNAcentral
CCUACGGGAGGCAGCAGUGGGGAAUCUUCCGCAAUGGGCGAAAGCCUGACGGAGCAACGCCGCGUGAUCGAAUGAAGGCCUUCGGGUUGUAAAGAUCUGUUGACAGGGACGAAUAAGCAAUGCGAAUAGUUUUGUGUAUGACGGUACCUGUUUAGAAAGCUCCGGCUAACUACGUGCCAGCAGCCGCGGUAAUACGUAGGGAGCAAGCGUUGUCCGGAAUUACUGGGCGUAAAGGGCGCGUAGGUGGGCGCUUAAGUCAGGUGUGAAAACUCCGGGCUCAACCUGGAGACUGCACUUGAAACUGGGUGUCUUGAGGGCAGGAGAGGAAAGUGGAAUUCCUAGUGUAGCGGUGAAAUGCGUAGAUAUUACGCAGAACUCCGAUUGCGAAGGCAGCAUACCGGCGCCCUACUGACGCUGAGGCACGAAAGCGUGGGUAUCGAACAGGAUUAGAUACCCUUGUAGUC